GAUGAAGAACGUAGCAAAAUGCGAUAAGUAAUGUGAAUUGCAGAAUUCAGUGAAUCAUCGAAUCUUUGAACGCACAUUGCGCCCGCUGGUAUUCCGGCGGGCAUGCCUGUUCGAGCGUCAUUUGUACCCUCAAGCUCUGCUUGGUGUUGGGUGUUUGUUCCGCCUCUGUGUGUGAACUCGCCUCAAAACAAUUGGCAGCCGGCGUACUUGUUUCGGAGCGCAGCACAUUUUGCGAUCCAGAUCAACGUACAGCGGCAUCCAAGAAGCCUUAUUUAACGCUCUUGACCUCGGAUCAGGUAGGGAUACCCGCUGAACUUAAGCAUAUCAAUAAGCGGAGGA
Molecule: unclassified non-coding RNA, 339 nt
Filed under: soil metagenome
Description: partial contains 5.8S ribosomal RNA, internal transcribed spacer 2, and large subunit ribosomal RNA
Rfam family: 5.8S ribosomal RNA (bases 1-120)
Source: RNAcentral